GGCUCAGUUGGUUAGAGUGCUGGUCUGUCACGCCAGAAGUCGCGGGUUCGAACCCCGU
This is a non-coding RNA of Oryza glaberrima (African rice), 58 nucleotides long. NCBI's taxonomy places the organism in Eukaryota, Viridiplantae, Streptophyta, Magnoliopsida, Poales, Poaceae. The record is from Rfam.